RNAcentral lists this ribosomal RNA (2071 nucleotides) under Clostridiaceae bacterium. RNAcentral's name for it is "partial 23S ribosomal RNA". It matches the Rfam family "Bacterial large subunit ribosomal RNA", at positions 1 to 2091 of the family's 2925-position model. Lineage: Bacteria; Bacillati; Bacillota; Clostridia; Eubacteriales; Clostridiaceae. RNAcentral also lists the same sequence under 1 other name. The record is from RNAcentral.
AUGGCAAAGUUAAUAAGGGCGCACGGUGGAUGCCUUGGCAUUAAGAGCCGAAGAAGGACGUGACUAACGACGAUAUUCUAGGGGGAGCAGUAAGUACGCAUUGAUCCCUAGGUCUCCGAAUGGGGAAACCCACUAUGUUAUGCAUAGUAUCCGUAAGUGAAUACAUAGCUUACGCGAAGGUAACGCAGAGAACUGAAACAUCUAAGUACCUGCAGGAAGAGAAAGUAAAAACGAUUUCCUAAGUAGCGGCGAGCGAACGGGAAACAGGCCAAACCAAGAAGCUUGCUUCUUGGGGUUGUAGGACUGCAACGUGGACUUAAAGUCUAUAGAAGAAUUACCUGGGAAGGUAAGCCAAAGAGAGUAAUAGCCUCGUAUUUGAAAUAGACUUUAUACCUAGCAGUAUCCUGAGUAGGGCUGGACACGCGAAAUCCAGUUUGAAUCCGGGAGGACCAUCUCCCAAGCCUAAAUACUCCUUAAUGACCGAUAGUGAACCAGUACCGUGAGGGAAAGGUGAAAAGAACCCCGGGAGGGGAGUGAAAUAGCACCUGAAACCGUGUGCCUACAAGAAGUUCGAGCCCGUCAAUGGGUGAGAGCGUGCCUUUUGUAGAAUGAACCGGCGAGUUACGUUAUGAUGCGAGGUUAAGCUGAAGAGGCGGAGCCGUAGCGAAAGCGAGUCUGAAUAGGGCGCUUUAGUAUCAUGAUGUAGACCCGAAACCUAGUGACCUAUCCAUGAGCAGGUUGAAGGUGCGGUAAGACGCACUGGAGGACCGAACCAGGACACGUUGAAAAGUGUUUGGAUGACUUGUGGAUAGCGGAGAAAUUCCAAACGAACUGGGAGAUAGCUGGUUCUCUCCGAAAUAGCUUUAGGGCUAGCGUCGCAAUUUAAGUGUAUUGGAGGUAGAGCACUGUUUGGAUGAGGGGCCCAUCUCGGGUUACCAAUUUCAGAUAAACUCCGAAUGCUAAUACACAUGUGCGGCAGUCAGACUGCGAGUGCUAAGAUCCGUAGUCGAAAGGGAAACAGCCCAGACCACCAGCUAAGGUCCCAAAAUAUAUGUUAAGUGGAAAAGGAUGUGGGGUUGCACAGACAACUAGGAUGUUAGCUCAGAAGCAGCUAUCAUUCAAAGAGUGCGUAAUAGCUCACUAGUCGAGUGACCCUGCGCCGAAAAUGUACCGGGGCUAAACAUAUUACCGAAGCUGUGGAUUUAAUAUUAAUUAAAUGGUAGGAGAGCGUUGUAAUCAGCGAUGAAGGUAUACCGUGAGGGGUGCUGGAGCGAUUACAAGUGAGAAUGCCGGUAUGAGUAGCGCAAGAUAAGUGAGAAUCUUAUCCACCGUAAGACUAAGGUUUCCAGGGGAAGGCUCGUCCGCCCUGGGUUAGUCGGGACCUAAGGCGAGGCCGAAAGGCGUAGUCGAUGGACAACAGGUUGAUAUUCCUGUACUAGUAUUGUUAGUGAUGGAGGGACGCAGUAGGCUAAAGGGAGCCAGUUAAUGGAUUCUGGUCUAAGCAGUGAGGUGUGGAAUGUGUCAAAUGCAUUUUCCUUUAACAUUGAGCUGUGAUGGGGAAGCAACUACGGUUGCGAAGCCCUUGAUGUCACACUGCCAAGAAAAUCUUCUAGCGUUUAAUUCAAUACUACCCGUACCGCAAACCGACACAGGUAGUCGAGGCGAGUAGCCUCAGGUGAUCGAGAGAACUCUCGUUAAGGAACUCGGCAAAAUGACCCCGUAACUUCGGGAGAAGGGGUGCUGUAGAAAUACAGCCGCAGUGAAAAGAUCCAAGCAACUGUUUAUCAAAAACACAGCUCUCUGCUAAACCGCAAGGUGAUGUAUAGGGGGUGACGCCUGCCCGGUGCUGGAAGGUUAAGAGGAGGGGUUAGACAUUAGUCGAAGCUCUGAAUUGAAGCCCCAGUAAACGGCGGCCGUAACUAUAACGGUCCUAAGGUAGCGAAAUUCCUUGUCGGGUAAGUUCCGACCCGCACGAAAGGCGUAAUGAUUUGGAUACUGUCUCAACGAGAGACUCGGUGAAAUUUUAGUACCUGUGAAGAUGCAGGUUACCCGCGACAGGACGGAAAGACCC